This 216-nucleotide long non-coding RNA is filed under the name Pongo abelii (Sumatran orangutan). RNAcentral describes it as "lincRNA". Lineage: Eukaryota; Metazoa; Chordata; Mammalia; Primates; Hominidae. The record is from RNAcentral.
AGAGUCUAGAAAAUAUCACCUAUUGAAUGUCUACUUCCACGUGGAUAUUGAGGGAGAAACAGUAAAAUCCAAGACAAUCUCCUGUGGAAGAAAAUUCUCCAACCCAAAGCUCAACCAAACCCAAAGCGCAACCCAAAGCACUGAACAGCACAUCAAUUAAGACCUGUCAAAUAUAAUCACACAAUCUAAUAUUUUUAAACAUGCAAAAUGAAGAGC